This 466-nucleotide ribosomal RNA is filed under the name Vreelandella stevensii. Its description in RNAcentral is "partial 16S ribosomal RNA". It matches the Rfam family "Bacterial small subunit ribosomal RNA", at positions 338 to 795 of the family's 1533-position model. Lineage: Bacteria; Pseudomonadati; Pseudomonadota; Gammaproteobacteria; Oceanospirillales; Halomonadaceae. The record is from RNAcentral.
CCUACGGGAGGCUGCAGUGGGGAAUAUUGGACAAUGGGCGAAAGCCUGAUCCAGCCAUGCCGCGUGUGUGAAGAAGGCCUUCGGGUUGUAAAGCACUUUCAGUGGGGAAGAAAGCCUUGGGGCUAAUACCCUCGAGGAAGGACAUCACCCACAGAAGAAGCACCGGCUAACUCCGUGCCAGCAGCCGCGGUAAUACGGAGGGGUGCGAGCGUUAAUCGGAAUUACUGGGCGUAAAGCGCGCGUAGGCGGUCUGAUAAGCCGGUUGUGAAAGCCCCGGGCUCAACCUGGGAACGGCAUCCGGAACUGUCAGGCUAGAGUGCAGGAGAGGAAGGUAGAAUUCCCGGUGUAGCGGUGAAAUGCGUAGAGAUCGGGAGGAAUACCAGUGGCGAAGGCGGCCUUCUGGACUGACACUGACGCUGAGGUGCGAAAGCGUGGGUAGCAAACAGGAUUAGAUACCCCUGUAGUC